This 316-nucleotide long non-coding RNA is filed under the name Brassica napus (rape). RNAcentral describes it as "long non-coding RNA (BNAP_LNC024202)". The record is from RNAcentral. Lineage: Eukaryota; Viridiplantae; Streptophyta; Magnoliopsida; Brassicales; Brassicaceae.
UUUCAAAGAGUAAGAUUCAAUGAGUCUUACGAGGAGUUUUCAAGGCUCAAAGUCUACAAGAAAUUCAGAAGAAGCUCAAGCUACUUAUUAUGAUUCAAAAGGGUAUGAACAAUGAGUUCAUUGCAUGAGUCCUUUGUAGGGAUUUUACCUAUGCAUUCUAUAUGAUCUAGACUCAAACCUAAAGAUGCAAAUGAUAAAAGUAAAUGUUUUUUUUUUUUUUUUUUUUUNNNNNNNNNNNNNNCAAAUGAUAAAAGUAAAUUUUUUUUUUUUUUUUUUUUUGUAAUUUUGCAAAUUUUUAUGGAUUUUCUAUGCAAAU